Molecule: ribosomal RNA, 481 nt
Filed under: uncultured bacterium
Lineage: Bacteria
Description: bacterial SSU rRNA
Rfam family: Bacterial small subunit ribosomal RNA
Source: RNAcentral
CCGCCGCCGUAACACAUGCAAGUCGAACGAUGAACUUUGGAGCUUGCUCUGGGGGGAUUAGUGGCGAACGGGUGAGUAACACGUGAGUAACCUGCCCUGGACUCUGGGAUAAGCGCUGGAAACGGCGUCUAAUACCGGAUAGGACCUCUGGCCGCAUGGUCGGGGGUGGAAAGUUUUUUCGGUCUGGGAUGGACUCGCGGCCUAUCAGCUUGUUGGUGAGGUAAUGGCUCACCAAGGCGUCGACGGGUAGCCGGCCUGAGAGGGUGACCGGCCACACUGGGACUGAGACACGGCCCAGACUCCUACGGGAGGCAGCAGUGGGGAAUAUUGCACAAUGGGCGAAAGCCGGAUGCAGCAACGCCGCGUGGGGGAUGACGGCCUUCGGGUUGUAAACCUCUUUUAGUAGGGAAGAAGGGCUUCGGCUUGACGGUACCUGCAGAAAAAGGACCGGCUAACUACGUGCCAGCAGCCGCGGUAAAAC